GUAAUACAACAGCCUGUUGUUCACCUCUCCCACCCCCCGCCCAUUUCUCAAGAUACUCUCUUCUUUUCUCUUAGAAGAUUGAAUAUGGGCAAUGUUGGCAUAUUUAUUUGCAUAUUUGAUAUAAAAAAUUUUGUUUUUAUUCCCCCCUUGGCCCCCAGUGAGGUGUGGAAGUAAGAGGAGGAAGAAGAAGAAAUACAUAAUAAUUUUUUUAAAGAUUGAUAAACUAAACCACUAUUUCUUCAAAUAACUAGUAAUUCAUUAAUGACAUAUAUUACAACUAUACAUUAAGUAAAAUGGCGUAUUCUUCCAAAUACCAAAAAUUUUAAUGAACUGUUGCAGAAAGAUGCCAGAAAACCUACACUACCUCAAGAAGAUCCAGAAUGAACUUUGGGUGUGGUUGAUUGAACUGAAGUUUGAUUGAACAUUUACUUGAAUUAUAUACUCUUACGCCAAAAGGGGACUGCCCCCUAAUUGGUUUUUGUCAAUGUGCCCAGCAAACAUUGGUUUUACUGUCUUUCUCUCUUCUAUUUCCCUCUUCUAUCUAACUAUUGUAAUCUCCUUUUAGAAGGUGAAAUUUUGUAUGCACCUGCAGUUAGAAAAAUUGGAAGUGCAGGAUGAUUAUGUUUAGUGAUCAAAUGGGAAGAGUAAUCUCCCAAUCAUCAUCAGUGGGGAUUGUGAAUUUUAACUUUACUCCAUCCUGCUUAGUCUAACAAAACAGCAAUGUCUAUACCCCUACUUAAGGAUUAAGUAUUGAGAAGGAUGGCCUAUGACAGAUAUGCUAACAAAUGACAAAUCAGAAACAACUGACAAACCCCUGGGCUGUCCCUAAGUCAAGCUUAAGCUGCCAUUGGUACAUGUGAGACACAGGAAGUGAUGUAAAAAUGGUCUAUAUGUUUUGCAUCACUUCCUCUCUUGGCCUCUUUGCGUGGAGAGGUGACUGGUGGCAGUGUGUUGAGGUCUUGGUGUCUUGGCAUGGUGGAAGCUAUUGUCUGGGUUUGGCGUGAAUGAGAAAACAAAUUUUGAAGUAAAAAGGAAGGUAAGGACAAUGAAUAAUCAAGGACAAUCUGACAAUUCUUCCAUGGAGGCCUUUCUCAUUCUUGUAAGGCUUAUUUACACUAUUGUUAAUGUUCCUUAAGGCAACUAUCAGCCUUCAGAAGAGGUGAGAGAAGAGAAGGAACAAAAAAGGAAUAGUGAUACAGAACAGGUUGCUAUAGGACAAUCAGUUUCUAGAAAUUUUUGUUUUAAACUGCAGGAAUAAUUUCAAAAAUUUGUAUCUAAUGAAAUUUUAAUUCAUCACAAUCCUUUGAGAACAAUGUAUUGGGUUUAAAGCAUUUUGGGGAGGUUAACAAUUUUUGGAAAUCUCUUUAGAAUGGACUGAUUUCAAGGUUAAUGUUUUAUUGAGAAUAACAGAGAACAAACUGAGAAUAAUUAAAUUUAUUUAAUAACUGAGGAAGUUAUAGAACCUAAGGGUCAUAAAGUUGAUGUAAAAAUCAUAAUUGUGGAGUAGCUAUAUAGCUCAGUGGAUAGAGAACUGGGCCUGGGUUGAUAUCUGAUCCCAGACACUUCUUAGCUACAGGACUCUGGGCAAGUUACUUAAACCCAACUGCCUAUCUCUUACUGUUCUUUUACCUUGGAAUCAGUCUUCAUAUUAAUUCUAUGACAGAAGGUAAGGGUUUUUUUUUUUUUAAGCAUAAAUAUGUGGGUGGAAUUUGAAACCAAAGAUGCUUUUCUGGAAGUUACUGGAAUUUGGCUUUUUGUGUGUUUUCAUUAGAUCUCCAAAGUAAGCGAGUUCCCUUGUGUAUCCUUUUUAUUAAAGAUUUAAGUUCUUUGAAAGCAAAGACUCUUCAUCUAUCCUCUUUGAAUACUCAACACAUAAGUGUCUCACAUACAAGAUAACAUUUGCAUGACUUAUAUCACCUUCAAGCAACUUCUACUGAGGAAGAGACAAUUCUGUAUUGGGACAUGUGAACCUUAGAAUGAGUAUAAUCUGAAAGAAUUUUAUGCUUAAAAAGACCACUUAUCCUUCCUCAAGAGGAGGAGAAUCAUUAGUCACUCGGGACAUCUAGCACUCAGAAAAGUGGGGGGACACAGACCCAGGAAAAGAUUAUAUGGCAUAAUGGGGGAAAAUGAUCAUGGAGAGGGCAAAAGGUGGUAAGGAACUUCAAAUCAAGGACAAAGGAAAAUUGCUAGCUAACAAAGGACAUUUCUAUCUCCUUUAUCACCUGCAAGAAUUUAUAUCUUGAAGAGACGCAAAAGAAAAAAAUGGAACAAGAUGCAAGAUCUACAAAGCAACAACAAAAAGAUAAUAUAGAAGAGGGAAUCCAAAAGAACACAGAGACUAAAGAGGGAAUAAGCAUUAAGUCUAGAAAUAUACAAAAAAGGGGAAGAGAAAUAAUGAAGAGAAAAAGCCAAAAAUGAAAAAAUUAACAAAACAAGUUCAUGAGAAAAAAAAGAAUAGAGAUUUUACUUGAAUCUUUAAGUAAGAAGAAAAAAAAGAAUUAGAUCACUAGUUGAAAGAAAGAAAAAGGAAUUAACAAAUUAAGCAAAACUACAGAUCUAGAAGAAAAGGUGACAAAAGAGGAGUUGGGCUUGAAGGUAAAGGGUUUCCUUAAAGUAGAUCAAGUUGAAAUAACAGAAGAGAGAAAGUAUUAUCUUUAUAGAAGAAAGGGGAAAAUACUACUAAGUAGGAAAAAAUCCAGUAGUAGAGACAAAUUGAGAAAUGUGUGAACCUAAAUCUCAUGACUUCAAGUAGAUUAAACAAUCCAAUUUAAAAAAUGACACAAAAUCUACUGCUUAUGAGAUGCAGACCUAAAAACACAAGCAUGCACAGAACAAGAGUAAAGGGCUGGAAUAAAAUCUACAACAAGCAAAUCCAAAAAAGUAGUACCUGAAAUUAUUCUCAGCAAAUCAAAAACAAAUAUUCACAAUAUAAAAAAAGAGAUAAACCAGAAAAUAUAUUAAACUUAUAUCCUCCAAAUGUCAUAGCAGCUAAAUUCAUAAAUAAAAAAAUUAAAAGAAUUAUAAGGAUAGUAAUAUAAUAGAUGAAGGAAUUUUUAAUGACCUUGUUCUGUUUUGGACAAAGCCAACAGAAAGAUAAGUAAAAGGAAAGAUAUAGAGUUGAACAAAUUGCUAGGAAGGUUAGAGCUAAAAAAAAAAAGACUUAUAGUAUCUUCUAUAUGGGAAUACUAAUAACCACAUUUCUUAGCACCACAUGAAACAUUUAGAAAAAAUGAUCAUAUAUUAGGGCACAGAGAUUCUACAAAUAUAUGCAAAAAGGGAGGAGGAGUAAACACAAACUUUUACAGACAAUAAUGGAAUAAAAUAGUGAUCAGUUCAGAGAAAAAUAGAAAAAGACUUAAAUGGAAACUUAAGUUGGUCAAAGAACAAAUUAUAUAUUCGAUUAAUUAUGUGAAAGACAAUGAUAAUGAUCAAGCAACAUAUUAAAAUUUAUGAGAUGCUGCUAAAGCAGUCUUCAGCAGGAAAAUUAAUCUUUACCAUACUGAAUUCUUUUACUCAUCUCUCCAUUUAUCUAAACCUCUGGAGCACUCUACAAGAAGUAUCUUAGAUAUUAAGAGAUAAUAGGAGAGGUUCACUCCAAAUUAAAAAACCUUUAUUCAAAAGUUGGUGGCAAGAAAAGCAGAAACCCCAGUACAAUUAAAUCAUGAAAAAAUAUACAAAAUCUUUAACCUCAAAACAAAAAGUGGGGACAAGGGCAUGCGAUUGGGGACAGAAAGCUAUACCUGUGAUUUCUUUAGUAUAGUUAACACCUAAUAGAGAGAUUUUUCUUUACCAAUAUAGAUCUUAGAGAAUUACCUAAGGCACUGAGAGGUAUAGUACUUGCUCCUAUCUGAAUAGUUUGUUUAUUUACAAGGUAAGACAAUAUUAGAACCCAGGUCUUCCUUACUAUAAGGUAAGUCAUCCAUUAAUCUCAACAAUCUGACUCUCCAAUUGAAAAUAAAAACUCAUAAAUUACAUAAUUAAGUAAAUCAUAAAUUUUGUAUCAUUUUUAUCACGUUUAUUAAUCAUCAAAACUAACAUGUUAUAAAA
This is a non-coding RNA of Monodelphis domestica (gray short-tailed opossum), 4047 nucleotides long. Lineage: Eukaryota; Metazoa; Chordata; Mammalia; Didelphimorphia; Didelphidae. The record is from RefSeq and is a predicted model, not a curated record.